Molecule: ribosomal RNA, 777 nt
Filed under: Dermacoccus sp.
Lineage: Bacteria; Bacillati; Actinomycetota; Actinomycetes; Micrococcales; Dermacoccaceae
Description: bacterial SSU rRNA
Rfam family: Bacterial small subunit ribosomal RNA
Source: RNAcentral
UGGCGGCGUGCUUAACACAUGCAAGUCGAACGAUGAAGCACCAGCUUGCUGGUGUGGAUUAGUGGCGAACGGGUGAGUAACACGUGAGUAACCUGCCCCUCACUCUGGGAUAAGCCUGGGAAACUGGGUCUAAUACUGGAUACGACCGAUCUCCGCAUGGAGUGUUGGUGGAAAGUUUUUGUGGUGGGGGAUGGACUCGCGGCCUAUCAGCUUGUUGGUGGGGUAAUGGCCUACCAAGGCGACGACGGGUAGCCGGCCUGAGAGGGCGACCGGCCACACUGGGACUGAGACACGGCCCAGACUCCUACGGGAGGCAGCAGUGGGGAAUAUUGCACAAUGGGCGAAAGCCUGAUGCAGCGACGCCGCGUGAGGGAUGACGGCCUUCGGGUUGUAAACCUCUUUCACCAGGGACGAAGCUAACGUGACGGUACCUGGAGAAGAAGCACCGGCUAACUACGUGCCAGCAGCCGCGGUAAUACGUAGGGUGCGAGCGUUGUCCGGAAUUAUUGGGCGUAAAGAGCUUGUAGGCGGUUUGUCGCGUCUGCUGUGAAAGACCGGGGCUUAACUCCGGUUCUGCAGUGGGUACGGGCAGACUAGAGUGUGGUAGGGGAGACUGGAAUUCCUGGUGUAGCGGUGAAAUGCGCAGAUAUCAGGAGGAACACCGAUGGCGAAGGCAGGUCUCUGGGCCAUUACUGACGCUGAGAAGCGAAAGCAUGGGGAGCGAACAGGAUUAGAUACCCUGGUAGUCCAUGCCGUAAACGUUGGGCGCUAGGUGUG